GGCUCUCUGAGGCCAACUUCAGGCCUGUCCUGUUACCUUGAUUCCACAUGAGGAUUCCUGGAGCCUCCCRAGGACCUGCUGCUACCACCCUGCUGCUCUGCUUGCCUGGUUCUGGAGCUGUAUGACUGUCUCUUGCUGCAGGUGCUGUAUUUCCAGGACCAUCCACUCACCUGUGCAGUAAUUGAGUACAUAGAUUCACUGUGAGGUCUGGGACAAGGCCACUGUGUGUGAAGGUUUGGAUCCACCACUCAGCAGAAUCAAACAGGGUUUUCCUCCCCUCCGUAUGCAGUGAACCAGACAGAAGUGUAUUUGAGAAAGAUUUAUCGGCAAACCUCACGUGAGACUCUAAGAAAUACUAUUCUGCCUGUGAGGUGCAGGCCAUGUUCAUUUUAGUAAAGAUCUACUGUGAACUUUGAAAAGUGACAACAAAAGAUGUCCUGCUGCAAGAAGGGCCAUUAAGAAGGUGGAAGGAAGCUGGA
Molecule: long non-coding RNA, 479 nt
Organism: Nothoprocta perdicaria
Lineage: Eukaryota; Metazoa; Chordata; Aves; Tinamiformes; Tinamidae
Exons: 5
Source: RefSeq, a predicted model, not a curated record